AAGUCGAACGAAGAAUUUAGCAAUAAAUUCUUAGUGGCGAAUGGGUGCGUAACACGUAGGUGACCUACCCCGAAGUGUGGAAUAACAGUCCGAAAGGACUGCUAAUACCGCAUGUGGUCCCGGGUUUUAGAAAGCCGGGUCUAAAGCAGCAAUGCGCUUCGGGAGGGGCCUGCGGCCCAUCAGCUAGUUGGUAGGGUAAUGGCCUACCAAGGCUACGACGGGUAGGGGACCUGAGAGGGUGACCCCCCACAUUGGCACUGACACACGGGCCAAACUCCUACGGGAGGCAGCAGUCGGGAAUAUUGCACAAUGGACGAAAGUCUGAUGCAGCAACGCCGCGUGCGCGAUGAAGGCCUUCGGGUUGUAAAGCGCUUUUCGGGAGGAUGAGGAAGGACAGUACUCCCGGAAUAAGGUACGGCUAACUACGUGCCAGCAGCCGCGGUAAAACGUAGGUACCGAGCGUUAUCCGGAUUUACUGGGCGUAAAGCGUGUUCAGGCGGCCCGGCAAGUCGGGCAUGAAAUCUCUCGGCUCAACCGAGAGAGGCUGUCCGAUACUGCUGGGCUUGAGGACGGUAGAGGGUGGUGGAAUUCCGCGUGUAGUGGUGAAAUGCGUGGAUAUGCGGAGGAACACCAGUGGCGAAGGCGGCCACCUGGACCGUCCCUGACGCUCAAACACGAAAGCUAGGGUAGCGAACGGGAUUAGAAACCCCGGGUAGUCCUAGCCGUAAACGAUGUUGACUGGGUGUCAAAGGUG
This 754-nucleotide ribosomal RNA is filed under the name uncultured Chloroflexota bacterium. RNAcentral describes it as "bacterial SSU rRNA". It matches the Rfam family "Bacterial small subunit ribosomal RNA", at positions 59 to 831 of the family's 1533-position model. Lineage: Bacteria; Bacillati; Chloroflexota. The record is from RNAcentral.